CGCUGGCGGCAUGCCUAACACAUGCAAGUCGAACGGGGGUAGCAAUACCCUAGUGGCGAACGGGUGAGUAACACAUAAGCAAUCUGCCCUUCACAGGGGGAUAACAGCGGGAAACUGCUGCUAAUACCGCAUAAGACCACAGUACCACAUGGUACAGGGGUAAAAACGAAUCAGUGGUGAAGGAUGAGCUUAUGUCCCAUUAGCUAGUUGGUGAGAUAACAGCCCACCAAGGCGACGAUGGGUAGCCGACCUGAGAGGGUGAUCGGCCACACUGGAACUGAGACACGGUCCAGACUCCGUACGGGAGGCAGCAGUGGGGAAUAUUGGGCAAUGGAAGGAAACUCUUACCCAGCAAUGCCGCGUGAGUGAAGAAGGUCUUCGGAUUGUAAAGCUCUUUGAUUGGGGACGAAGAAAGUGACGGUACCCAAAGAACAAGCCCCGGCUAACUACGUGCCAGCCGCCGC
Molecule: ribosomal RNA, 464 nt
Filed under: uncultured bacterium
Lineage: Bacteria
Description: bacterial SSU rRNA
Rfam family: Bacterial small subunit ribosomal RNA
Source: RNAcentral